This 725-nucleotide ribosomal RNA is filed under the name uncultured bacterium. RNAcentral describes it as "bacterial SSU rRNA". It matches the Rfam family "Bacterial small subunit ribosomal RNA", at positions 57 to 772 of the family's 1533-position model. The record is from RNAcentral.
GCAGUCGAACGGUAACAUAAAGAAGCUUGCUUCUUUGAUGACGAGUGCCGUACGGGUGAGUAAUGCUUGGGAAUCUAGCUUAUGGAGGGGGAUAACUACGGGAAACUGUAGCUAAUACCGCGUAAUAUCGAAAGAUUAAAGUGUGGGACCUUCGGGCCACAUGCCAUAGGAUGAGCCCAAGUGGGAUUAGGUAGUUGGUGAGGUAAAGGCUCACCAAGCCGACGAUCUCUAGCUGGUCUGAGAGGAUGACCAGCCACACUGGGACUGAGACACGGCCCAGACUCCUACGGGAGGCAGCAGUGGGGAAUAUUGCGCAAUGGGGGCAACCCUGACGCAGCCAUGCCGCGUGAAUGAAGAAGGCCUUCGGGUUGUAAAGUUCUUUCGGUAGCGAGGAAGGCAUUUAGUUUAAUAAACUAGGUGAUUGACGUUAACUACAGAAGAAGCACCGGCUAACUCCGUGCCAGCAGCCGCGGUAAUACGGAGGGUGCGAGCGUUAAUCGGAAUAACUGGGCGUAAAGGGCACGCAGGCGGUGACUUAAGUGAGGUGUGAAAGCCCCGGGCUUAACCUGGGAAUUGCAUUUCAUACUGGGUCGCUAGAGUACUUUAGGGAGGGGUAGAAUUCCACGUGUAGCGGUGAAAUGCGUAGAGAUGUGGAGGAAUACCGAAGGCGAAGGCAGCCCCUUGGGAAUGUACUGACGCUCAUGUGCGAAAGCGUGGGGAGCAAA